CAGUAGCCGCGGUAAUACGUAGGUCCCGAGCGUUGUCCGGAUUUAUUGGGCGUAAAGCGAGCGCAGGCGGUUAGAUAAGUCUGAAGUUAAAGGCUGUGGCUUAACCAUAGUACGCUUUGGAAACUGUUUAACUUGAGUGCAAGAGGGGAGGGUGGAAUUCCAUGUGUAGCGGUGAAAUGCGUAGAUAUAUGGAGGAACACCGGUGGCGAAAGCGGCUCUCUGGCUUGUAACUGACGCCGAGGCUCGAAAGCGUGGGGAGCAAACAGGAUUAGAUACCCCAGUAGUCCCUGUCUCUUAUACC
Molecule: ribosomal RNA, 301 nt
Filed under: uncultured bacterium
Lineage: Bacteria
Description: partial 16S ribosomal RNA
Rfam family: Bacterial small subunit ribosomal RNA
Source: RNAcentral